GGGGAUUGUGCAAAUCCUUAGGGGCUAGCUUAUGAUGCAAAGAAAUAUAUUAAUCACAUAAUCUUUUAUGGAUGUCUUAUCUUCCAAUUACUUAGAUCAUACAAAUUUUAAGCGAAUUUUAGUAAUUCAAAGUUUUAUGAAAAAUAUCAAAAUUUAGCUUAAUUUAUCAUUUUGCAAUCAAAGUGAUCCAUGCAUAGCC
Molecule: long non-coding RNA, 199 nt
Filed under: Elaeis guineensis (African oil palm)
Lineage: Eukaryota; Viridiplantae; Streptophyta; Magnoliopsida; Arecales; Arecaceae
Description: long non-coding RNA (EGUI_LNC065176)
Source: RNAcentral